GACGAACGCUGGCGGCGUGCCUAAUACAUGCAAGUCGAACGAGAGCGACCGGUGCUUGCACUGGUCAAUCUAGUGGCGAACGGGUGAGUAACACGUGGGUAACCUGCCCAUCAGAGGGGGAUAACAUUCGGAAACGGAUGCUAAAACCGCAUAGGUCUUCGAACCGCAUGGUUUGAAGAGGAAAAGAGGCGCAAGCUUCUGCUGAUGGAUGGACCCGCGGUGCAUUAGCUAGUUGGUGAGGUAACGGCUCACCAAGGCCGUGAUGCAUAGCCGACCUGAGAGGGUGAUCGGCCACAUUGGGACUGAGACACGGCCCAAACUCCUACGGGAGGCAGCAGUAGGGAAUCUUCCGCAAUGGACGCAAGUCUGACGGAGCAACGCCGCGUGAGUGAAGAAGGUUUUCGGAUCGUAAAACCCUGUUGUUAGAGAAGAAUAAGUGCUAGAGUAACUGUUAGCGCCUUGACGGUAGCUAACCAGAAAGCCACGGCUAACUACGUG
RNAcentral lists this ribosomal RNA (498 nucleotides) under uncultured bacterium. RNAcentral describes it as "partial 16S ribosomal RNA". It matches the Rfam family "Bacterial small subunit ribosomal RNA", at positions 28 to 507 of the family's 1533-position model. The record is from RNAcentral.